Molecule: ribosomal RNA, 1345 nt
Filed under: metagenome
Description: bacterial LSU rRNA
Rfam family: Bacterial large subunit ribosomal RNA
Source: RNAcentral
UGAGUACGAGACGCUAAGGCGUUGAAGUAGUGGAUGUCAUACUUCCAAGAAAAGCUUGCACUGUCGUAAAUGAAAAAUGCCUGUACCAUAACCGACACAGGUGGGUAGGUAGAGUAUACUAAGGGGCGCGAGAUAACUCUCUCUAAGGAACUCGGCAAAAUGACUCCGUAACUUCGGGAGAAGGAGUGCCUUAUUCGUAAGGCUGCAAUAACAAGAUCCAAGCAACUGUUUAUCAAAAACACAGGUCUCCGCUAAGUCGUAAGACGAUGUAUGGGGGCUGACGCCUGCCCAGUGCCAGAAGGUUAAAGAAGUCGGCUAGCAUUAGCGAAGCUGGUAACUGAAGCCCUGGUGAACGGCGGCCGUAACUAUAACGGUCCUAAGGUAGCGAAAUUCCUUGUCGGGUAAGUUCCGACCCGCACGAAAGGCGUAAUGAUUUGGAUACUGUCUCGGAGAGGGGCUCGGUGAAAUAGACUUGUCUGUGAAGAUGCGGACUACCUGCACCAGGACAGAAAGACCCUAUGAAGCUUUACUGUAACUUGAAAUUGAAAUUGGACUUUAUUCGCGCAGUAUAGGUGGGAGGCGUUGAUUAUAAUCUUGCGGGAUUAUUGGAGCCAUCAGUGAGAUACCACUCUUGUAAUGUUAGAUUUCUAACUUUGAAUCAUUAUCUGGUCAAAGAACAGUUUCAGGCGGGCAGUUUGACUGGGGCGGUCGCCUCCUAAACGGUAACGGAGGCGUACAAAGGUUUCCUCUGAACGGGUAGAAAUCGUAUCUAGAGUGUAAAGGCAUAAGGAAGCUUGACUGUGAGACCUACAAGUCGAGCAGGGACGAAAGUCGGUCUUAGUGAUCUGACGGUACUGAGUGGAAAGGCCGUCACUCAACGGAUAAAAGUUACUCUAGGAUAACAGGCUGAUCUCCCCUAAGAGUUCACAUCGACGGGGAGGUUUGGCACCUCGAUGUCGGCUCAUCGCAUCCUGGGGCGGUAGUACGUCCCAAGGGUUGGGCUGUUCGCCCAUGAAAGCGGUACGCGAGCUGGGUUCAGAACGUCGUGAGACAGUUCGGUCCAUAUCCGGUGUAGGCGUUAGAAUAUUGAGAGGAGCCUUCUUUAGUACGAGAGGACCGAGAAGGACAUACCUCUGGUGUACCAGUUAUCGUGCCAACGGUAAACGCUGGGUAGCUAUGUAUGGAGUGGAUAACCGCUGAAAGCAUCUAAGUGGGAAGCCCACCUCAAGAUAAGUAUUCUCAUCACGUAAGUGAGUAAGGUCACGGUAAGACUAACCGUUUGAUAGGCAUUAAGUGUAAGUACAGUAAUGUAUGUGCUGAGAUGUCCUAAUAGACCGAGGACUUG